Molecule: ribosomal RNA, 839 nt
Filed under: uncultured euryarchaeote
Lineage: Archaea; Methanobacteriati; Methanobacteriota
Description: bacterial SSU rRNA
Rfam family: Archaeal small subunit ribosomal RNA
Source: RNAcentral
CGGCCACCGCUAUUGGUAUUCGAUUAAGACAUGCGAGUCGAGAGACGUAAGGUCUCGGCGGACCGCUGAGUAACACGCGGAUAACAUGCCCUGGGGUGGGGGAUAACCUCGGGAAACUGAGAAUAAUACCCCAUAGGUUUAGGGUGCUGGAAUGCUUCUAUGCUGAAAACUCCGGUGCCCCAGGAUUGGUCUGCGGCUUAUCAGGUUGUAGUGGGUGUAACGGACCCACUAGCCUAUGACGAGUAUGGGCCUUGAGAGAGGAAGCCCACAGAUGGACUCUGAGACAUGAGUCCAGGCCCUACGGGGCGCAGCAGUCGCGAAAACUUCACAAUGGGAGAAAUCCCGAUGAGGGAAUACCAAGUGCCAGCACUUUUGUGUUGGCUGUUCCCCUGUCUAAAAAACAGGAGAAGUAAGGGCCGGGUAAGACGGGUGCCAGCCGCCGCGGUAAUACCCGCGGCCCGAGUGGUGGUCGAUAUUAUUGAGCCUAAAACGUCCGUAGCCGGUCUCAUAAAUCCUUGGGUAAAUCGGCCAGCUUAACUGUCCGAAGUCCGAGGAGACUGUGAGACUUGGGAUCGGGAGAGGUCAGAGGUACUUCUGGGGUAGGGGUAAAAUCCUGUAAUCCUGGAAGGACCACCGGUGGCGAAGGCGUCUGACUAGAACGAAUUCGACGGUGAGGGACGAAGCCCUGGGGCGCAAACGGGAUUAGAUACCCCGGUAGUCCAGGGUGUAAACGCUGCGGGCUUGGUGUUGGGGGUCCUUUGUGGGCGCCCAGUGCCGGAGAGAAGUUGUUAAGCCUGCCGCCUGGGGAGUACGAUCGCAAGAUUGAAACUUAAAGGAAU